UGGGGAAUAUUGGACAAUAGAGGAAACUCUGAUCCAGCAAUUCUGUGUGUGUGAAGAAGGUUUUAGGACUGUAAAACACUUUUAGUAGGGAAGAAAAAAAUGACGGUACCUACAGAAGAAGCAACGGCUAAAUACGUGCCAGCAGCCGCGGUAAUACGUAUGUUGCGAGCGUUAUCCGGAAUUAUUGGGCUUAAAGGGCAUCUAGGCGGUAAGACAAGUUGAAGGUGAAAACCUGUGGCUCAACCAUAGGCUUGCCUACAAAACUGUUGAACUAGAGUACUGGAAAGGUGGGUGGAACUACACGAGCAGAGGUGAAAUUCGUAGAUAUGUGUAGGAAUGCCGAUGAUGAAGAUAACUCACUGGACAGAAACUGACGCUGAAGUGCGAAAGCUAGGGGAGCAAACAGG
RNAcentral lists this ribosomal RNA (407 nucleotides) under Verrucomicrobiota bacterium. Its description in RNAcentral is "Verrucomicrobia bacterium partial 16S ribosomal RNA". It matches the Rfam family "Bacterial small subunit ribosomal RNA", at positions 355 to 776 of the family's 1533-position model. Lineage: Bacteria; Pseudomonadati; Verrucomicrobiota. The record is from RNAcentral.